RNAcentral lists this ribosomal RNA (433 nucleotides) under uncultured bacterium. Its description in RNAcentral is "partial 16S ribosomal RNA". It matches the Rfam family "Bacterial small subunit ribosomal RNA", at positions 29 to 507 of the family's 1533-position model. The record is from RNAcentral.
AACGAACGCUGGCGGCAUGCCUAACACAUGCAAGUCGAACGAGACCUUCGGGUCUAGUGGCGCACGGGUGCGUAACGCGUGGGAACCUGCCCUUAGGUUCGGAAUAACUCCCCGAAAGGGGUGCUAAUACCGGAUAAUGUCUUCGGACCAAAGAUUUAUCGCCUUUGGAUGGGCCCGCGUUGGAUUAGCUAGUUGGUAGGGUAAAAGCCUACCAAGGCGACGAUCCAUAGCUGGUCUGAGAGGAUGAUCAGCCACACUGGGACUGAGACACGGCCCAGACUCCUACGGGAGGCAGCAGUGGGGAAUAUUGGACAAUGGGCGAAAGCCUGAUCCAGCAAUGCCGCGUGAGUGAUGAAGGCCUUAGGGUUGUAAAGCUCUUUUACCCGGGAUAAUAAUGGCAGUACCGGGAGAAUAAGCUCCGGCUAACUCCGUG